Molecule: long non-coding RNA, 1608 nt
Organism: Thunnus maccoyii (southern bluefin tuna)
Lineage: Eukaryota; Metazoa; Chordata; Actinopteri; Scombriformes; Scombridae
Exons: 3
Source: RefSeq, a predicted model, not a curated record
CAUCUUUUGGCCAGAGGAGGACUCAACACAGACCCAUGUAAAAGAACAAAGGCUCAUUCUUAUUCAGGGUCUAGCUGGUGAAAGGGUGGAGAUGGGCUCCCAGCAUGCACUUGGGCAGAAGAGGAAACAUCUAUUAAAGCUGAAGGCCUACACUGACCUUGUAGCAGCACAAAAGUGAACCCUGGAAACAGACCACGGACCAGCAAAUGUCCCAAGCAAGCAAACAAAGAUAUCUGAUGUGGCUGGAGUUGGUGCUCCCAGACGUGUGCCACAGCAGACAGUUGACAAGCUUAUGAUCAACUUUAUUUGUGAGGGUCUUCAUCCAUUUUCUAUUGUCGAAGAACCUGCAUUCAAAAAUCUUUUGUCAACGCUGAAUCCUCAAUGCAAGGUCAUUUCUCGACCCACUCUCUAAGCCAAAAUACUGGAAACUGCCAAUCGAAUAAAGGUCAAUUGUGUAAUGUAACAUUAUAGUAGAGUCAGCUAUGUUGCCACCACUACUGAUUGUUGGACAAUGCACCACAGCAGCUAUAUUUGCGUCACUGCCAACUGGAUAGAUGAAGAAACAUUGGAAAAACUGCUGCAUUUGCCUGCAAGAGGUUGAGAGGGUCCCAAACCUUUGAUGUUCUAGCAGGUGCCCUUAAUGACAUUCACUCACAGUACAAGAUAAGAGGGAAGGUGGUGAGAACCACGACUGACACAGGUUCAGACUUUAUUAAAGCAUUCAGUGUGUUUUGUAAUCAGGGUCAGUCUGAGAAAGCAGAGUUGGAUCAAGAUUCUUCUGAAGAACCCCAAGCAGACUACCAGGGCACAUUCAGCAUCUUGGAAGAAGACAGUGGUUUUGAAUACUAACAUCCUCCACAUCAAAGAUGCGCGGCCCACCUUUUAAACUUAGUUGCUACAACAGAUGCUGCCCAGGCAGAAGAGAAGAAUGAUACAUACAACGGCUAUCACAUGCAGCCUUUGGAAGAUGUUUUGCAAUGUGGAGCAAAACAAACUGGUCAUAUAUAGCUGCAGAAAGUGUUGAAGAUGAAUGCAAGCUCUAGCUCAUCCGGCCAAAUCAAACUUGGUGGAACUUAGCAUGUAUGGCUGAAUUUUGUGGAUUUUGCAACAGGAGGGGGGAGACGCCAUCAGGAAUGUCUGUGAAAAGUUCAGUGUGACAAUGUGAGUGUUGUUUAAAAUUUCUUUGUUAAGCUGAUCCUUGCACCCUUCAUCUGCAUCUCUCUUUAAUAACUACAAGGAAGUUAAAAGGUAAAAUCAAUAGGGAAUAAUGGCAUUAAUUUUGAUUCACCUGGGGCUGUUUAUGCAAGCUGCAAAUUUAACUGUGUGAGACAUUACUAACUUCUACUGUAUUUGCCACUCGUUGUUGUGUACCAGCCUAAUUAAAACCAAAUGCUAAAUAUGGAAGUGGACUGAACUAUUUUACUGGCUUCUGCACAAAAAUCACCUGCUUUUGGUUGGUGGCAUUUGUUAAUUUACAGUUACACUAAGAAGGGAAAUGUUUAAUGUUUUUGAUUCAGUUUCCCUUUUUCCCAAGCCUGUCAUUGCUAGUACUUGCAAACUUUGUUAAUGUGGUCACACAUUGACUUGUUUGAUUUGAAUUUGUUACUU